Molecule: ribosomal RNA, 497 nt
Filed under: uncultured bacterium
Lineage: Bacteria
Description: partial 16S ribosomal RNA
Rfam family: Bacterial small subunit ribosomal RNA
Source: RNAcentral
GAUGAACGCUGGCGGCGUGCCUAAUACAUGCAAGUCGAGCGAACGGACGAGAAGCUUGCUUCUCUGAUGUUAGCGGCGGACGGGUGAGUAACACGUGGAUAACCUACCUAUAAGACUGGGAUAACUUCGGGAAACCGGAGCUAAUACCGGAUAAUAUUUUGAACCGCAUGGUUCAAAAGUGAAAGACGGUCUUGCUGUCACUUAUAGAUGGAUCCGCGCUGCAUUAGCUAGUUGGUAAGGUAACGGCUUACCAAGGCAACGAUGCAUAGCCGACCUGAGAGGGUGAUCGGCCACACUGGAACUGAGACACGGUCCAGACUCCUACGGGAGGCAGCAGUAGGGAAUCUUCCGCAAUGGGCGAAAGCAUGACGGAGCAACGCCGCGUGAGUGAUGAAGGUCUUCGGAUCGUAAAACUCUGUUAUUAGGGAAGAACAUAUGUGUAAGUAACUGUGCACAUCUUGACGGUACCUAAUCAGAAAGCCACGGCUAACUACGUG